RNAcentral lists this unclassified non-coding RNA (229 nucleotides) under plant metagenome. RNAcentral describes it as "partial contains small subunit ribosomal RNA, internal transcribed spacer 1, and 5.8S ribosomal RNA". The record is from RNAcentral.
UCUCCGUAGGUGAACCUGCGGAGGGAUCAUUACAGAGCUCAUGCCCUACCGGGUAGAUCUCCCACCCUAUGUUAUUAUUACUUUGUUGCUUUGGCGGGCCGUUAGGCUCCGGCCCGACUACCGGCCCCGGCUGGUAAGCGCCCGCCAGAGGGCCCAAAACCCUGAAUAUUAGUGUCGUCUGAGUACUAUAUAAUAGUUAAAACUUUCAACAACGGAUCUCUUGGUUCUG